UAAUUAGUCUUUGGGCAAUCCCCUCCUACUUUGAAAAGCUCUUUCAUGUCAUAAAACUGCCCAUGGAUAUCUCCACAUAUAGUGACAGGGGCAUCGACGCGUUGCACGUUGCUCUCUUCGACAAGGAUUUCCAUGGCUUUGAGGCAAAGAGCCUUCACUUCCGAUUCCUUCAAUGGCUCGCAUUUCUUUAGCUGCUCUAUUUGCCUAUCUAGGUCAGACAUCUCCCUCUCGUUUCCCUCUAAAUCCCUAAAAAUAGCAGGAUUGCUAAUUUUGCAAUCGCUGU
This 283-nucleotide unclassified non-coding RNA is filed under the name Hevea brasiliensis (rubber tree). Lineage: Eukaryota; Viridiplantae; Streptophyta; Magnoliopsida; Malpighiales; Euphorbiaceae. The record is from RNAcentral.